Non-coding RNA from Macrostomum lignano, 70 nucleotides. Lineage: Eukaryota; Metazoa; Platyhelminthes; Macrostomidae. The record is from Rfam.
GGAGUUGUAGCCUAGUGGGUAGAGCGUCGGACGCACGACUUGAAGGUCGAGGGUUCGAUUCCCAAUUCCA